CCUCAGAAUGGUUGGAAAUCAUUCAUAGAGUGUAAAGGCAUAAGGGAGCUUGACUGCGAGACCUACAAGUCGAGCAGGGUCGAAAGACGGACUUAGUGAUCCGGUGGUUCCGCAUGGAAGGGCCAUCGCUCAACGGAUAAAAGCUACCCCGGGGAUAACAGGCUUAUCUCCCCCAAGAGUUCACAUCGACGGGGAGGUUUGGCACCUCGAUGUCGGCUCAUCGCAUCCUGGGGCUGUAGUCGGUCCCAAGGGUUGGGCUGUUCGCCCAUUAAAGCGGUACGCGAGCUGGGUUCAGAACGUCGUGAGACAGUUCGGUCCCUAUCCGUCGUGGGCGUAGGAAAUUUGAGAGGAGCUGUCCUUAGUACGAGAGGACCGGGAUGGACAUACCUCUGGUGUACCAGUUGUCGUGCCAACGGCAUAGCUGGGUAGCUAUGUGUGGACGGGAUAAGUGCUGAAAGCAUCUAAGCAUGAAGCCCCCCUCAAGAUGAGAUUUCCCAACUUCGGUUAUAAGAUCCCUCAAAGAUGAUGAGGUUAAUAGGUUCGAGGUGGAAGCAUGGUGACAUGUGGAGCUGACGAAUACUAAUCGAUCGAAGACUUAAUCAAAUU
Molecule: ribosomal RNA, 606 nt
Filed under: Staphylococcus aureus
Lineage: Bacteria; Bacillati; Bacillota; Bacilli; Caryophanales; Staphylococcaceae
Also listed under: 1 other name
Description: partial 23S ribosomal RNA
Rfam family: Bacterial large subunit ribosomal RNA
Source: RNAcentral